UACGGGAGGCAGCAGUGGGGAAUAUUGCACAAUGGGCGCAAGCCUGAUGCAGCCAUGCCGCGUGUAUGAAGAAGGCCUUCGGGUUGUAAAGUACUUUCAGUCGUGAGGAAGGUGUUAAGGUUAAUAACCUUAGCAAUUGACGUUAGCGACAGAAGAAGCACCGGCUAACUCCGUGCCAGCAGCCGCGGUAAUACGGAGGGUGCGAGCGUUAAUCGGAAUUACUGGGCGUAAAGGGCACGCAGGCGGUUAAUUAAGUUGGAUGUGAAAUCCCCGGGCUUAACCUGGGAAUGGCAUUCAAGACUGGUUAGCUAGAGUCUUGUAGAGGGGGUAGAAUUCCAUGUGUAGCGGUGAAAUGCGUAGAGAUGUGGAGGAAUACCGGUGGCGAAGGCGGCCCCUGGAUAAAGACUGACGCUCAUGUGCGAAAGCGUGGGGAGCAAAC
RNAcentral lists this ribosomal RNA (439 nucleotides) under uncultured bacterium. RNAcentral describes it as "bacterial SSU rRNA". It matches the Rfam family "Bacterial small subunit ribosomal RNA", at positions 340 to 773 of the family's 1533-position model. The record is from RNAcentral.